GCAGCUUGCUGCUUUGCUGACGAGUGGCGGACGGGUGAGUAAUGUCUGGGAAACUGCCCGAUGGAGGGGGAUAACUACUGGAAACGGUAGCUAAUACCGCAUAAUGUCGCAAGACCAAAGAGGGGGACCUUCGGGCCUCUUGCCAUCGGAUGUGCCCAGAUGGGAUUAGCUUGUUGGUGAGGUAACGGCUCACCAAGGCGACGAUCCCUAGCUGGUCUGAGAGGAUGACCAGCCACACUGGAACUGAGACACGGUCCAGACUCCUACGGGAGGCAGCAGUGGGGAAUAUUGCACAAUGGGCGCAAGCCUGAUGCAGCCAUGCCGCGUGUAUGAAGAAGGCCUUCGGGUUGUAAAGUACUUUCAGCGGGGAGGAAGGGGUUAAGGUUAAUAACCUUAGCCAUUGA
Molecule: ribosomal RNA, 404 nt
Filed under: Citrobacter amalonaticus
Lineage: Bacteria; Pseudomonadati; Pseudomonadota; Gammaproteobacteria; Enterobacterales; Enterobacteriaceae
Description: bacterial SSU rRNA
Rfam family: Bacterial small subunit ribosomal RNA
Source: RNAcentral